RNAcentral lists this long non-coding RNA (1816 nucleotides) under Mus musculus (house mouse). RNAcentral describes it as "long non-coding RNA chr2:141856040-141857856". Lineage: Eukaryota; Metazoa; Chordata; Mammalia; Rodentia; Muridae. The record is from RNAcentral.
AAUGGGAGGAAUUGGACUGAAAUUAAGGAAUUAAUUUGAGGCAUCACCAUGGACACCAAAGGCUGCAGUGUUUUAUUUAUGAUUACAAUUAUAAGAACAAUAAAACUGCAACAGGAAGCAGGGACCAUGGGUUUGUCAGUUGUCUAUGUGGUUCUGCAGUUGUCAUCAGCUCUUCUGCUCUCUAUGGGCCAUGAACCUUAUCAGCAGCUUCAGCAAGUACAGAUUAAUUCAGAGAUCUGAGAAACAAGGUUUGGAGCUAGCAAUUGUUGACAAAGGUGCAUCUCCCUGGUUGUGUUCAUCACAGAGAAGUCUGAAAGUAGAAUUAUGAUAUUGUUUUUGAAUCACUUCCAAGUAGGUUGUCUUCUUGGCCCACAGAAAGACUAGGCCUUGAGGGAAGGCUGCAACCUCCUCUGACUACAAAAAGAGAGGAAGGUGAAUUCUAUUAUCUUGGAGGCCCUGGGGAUAAAGCAUCUUCAGAAGGAUUUGAGAAUAAAGAAAACUGCAUGUUUAAAGGCUUGAGUGUUGAUUAAAAAGUUUUGGUUUUUUUUUUUUUAUAGAAAAAAAUAAAGCCAUGGCUCUUUUGCAUUCGUCAUAUGCAUUAAUUGUGCUGCUAUCUCUGGCUUGCAGAAGAGAAUGUUAGAAAGAAUGCAGUGACCAUUUUGACAUGUUGAAAAUGCUUAUAAUUAAUAUGGAUUAGGAAACAAAAGUGAAGUCACCAAGCAAUGAGUUAUGUCCACCAAAAGAUUUCUUCAUGGGAUGAAAUGUAUCUUUUAUUCGUGUUCAAAGAACUGUUGAAUAAUAAUUACUAGUGCUGUUUUUGAGUUUUAAUGGGACUCAUCCUCCUUCCUGAGAUAUGUCUCCAUCCUUUUAUUGCUUGUGUUUGCUAGUUUCCAUUUGUAAAAGAAAGGAGUCAUUUACAUAGUCAGCCAUUUUUCAUCUUGCGACCAUAAUACAUGCUGAUAGUGCAUUGCCCUGUGAGGUCUAAACCUUUUACUCUCUGCCAAGAUACUUGCAUGCUUCCCCCGAAUCUUGCCUUCCUAAGUGUUGGUUCACUCACUUUGAGUGUGAGAUCCCUGUUGCCCUUCACACUCCAGCUCCUGCACUUUUUCUUCUGAAGAGCCUAUACCAGGUUUCCCAGCUGGCUCAUGGUUUCUGAUAUAUGCUUUCAAACAUCACACAGAUUUGACUAAGAGUAAUUACUUGAUUAAUGUCCGUCUUCCUACACAGAGUCCAUUAUUUUUUCAUCAGUAUAGUCCAGCACUUAACAGAGUGCUUGCUUGGCUUAUCAUGGGCAAUAAUAGCUGUCAAAUUAUUUUGAGUAGGGAAUGGUAUGAUUGGAUAUGUUUUAGUAAAAUAGCCCUUGUAGUAGGUUUGGAGGUCACACUAGAGAGCAAAUCGAUUUGUAAUGGGAAGUUCUUUGGGGGAACUGUUGUACCUGUUCAGGAAGAAAAGGGGUUGGCAAUUUUUUUUUUGUCCCAGUACUCACUGGCCAAAUAUCUAUUGAGUGUUUACAAUGCUAAUGCCAGUUUGCAUGCUGCAUUCUGAGACAACAAAGGAACUAACGCUAAUGAGAAACUGGGAAGGAAAUGAAUGGUGAGUUCAGUGGGAUCCAAUGACUAGUUGUAGAUGGAGGAGAAGGAAUUUAUGAGGAAUGUAAGGUCAAGGUCAGCAAAUGCAUGGCAGUUGGCUCUGCUAACACGGUUUGAGUUGUUGGAGACACUUGUUCAACUUCCAAGAGAAUCAAAUGCUUCUUCAGCUUUAGGUCAUUUUUCAGUGAAGGACUUCUGGUGAGUUCUUAAUGUUGGCCUGUAGAGAC